RNAcentral lists this long non-coding RNA (3485 nucleotides) under Macaca mulatta (Rhesus monkey). RNAcentral describes it as "lncRNA (ENSMMUG00000056084.1)". The record is from RNAcentral. Lineage: Eukaryota; Metazoa; Chordata; Mammalia; Primates; Cercopithecidae.
AUGAUUUCUGGUUUGUUAACCUCAGGUGACAAAAAUGCCGAGCCAGGCGGGAGCUGGACCUACAAUCUUCUGCUGCGUGGUCAGACACGUUAUCCAUUGCGCCACUGGUCUACCACGCAACUCCUCCACUGGCCGUUGAAUUACUGCGUGUUGAGAACACACUCGGCAACCACUUUAAAGGGCAACGCAGGCUGGGACUCAUCUGAGGCUAAGCUGCCCAUCGUUCGGGGAGACCCUCAGGGAAAACAAAACAAGAAACAGAGAACUUGGAAACGGACACUGAUUACUUUGAACGUUUGCUCAGCCGGGGAAGCAGGAACUGUUCGGCCCCGGGCGGGCUGCCUGGCUCCGGACAGAGGACAGAUCCGAGGUGGAUGGAUAAGGCAAAAGGUAGCCCUGGGGAGGUGAGUGGAUAAAGUCCCUGGACACAGGGGCUGCCCUUGGAGGAGGUUCUUAUGUCAUUGUCCUCCAGUGGAAGUAACUGUGCAGAAUUAACUAGAGACCAGCGAUGAGAGAGAAUUAAUUGGAUAAAAAUUUUAUCUAGGGCAGUCCUUGAGCGUAAUUUUGUUAAGCAAAGACAAGACAAAAACAAAACGAGUAAAACCCAAACACACAUCCACACACUCACUGAAAGAUUCAAAGAUAAAACAGAACACAAAGACUUUUCUGGUAAUAAAAUCUCCCUAUCCUAAUUUUCUAGAAAAAAAGCUGUUGAAGCCACCCCGCAGUUCUUACAAGACAAAACACAAAUCUUCCACACAAAAGCAGAAAUACAGUAUUAUCCUUUGUGAGGAGUGCAGCAAAUAAAUGAUAUUUCUUCAGGGUCCUAGGCAACCUGUAUACUUUUGUUACCAGUGUAUACAACAUGCUAUGGUUUAUUGCUGUCUUUCAUUUUCUAGAGUGGUCUCCAUUUUUACCUCGUUUUAUUAUUUUCAAUAGUCUUUCAAUUGAAUAUGUUGUAAAUUACUUGAAAUAUAACAUCAUGAUGUUCAUAAAAACAAAUUCACAAAGUAAGAAAAAGAAUUCUUUUAUCAGAUGCCAUGUCCCAGUUUCUAGUUUGGGAUUAUGGGCGUUCUAGCUGGCUGAGGGGAGGAACUGGCAGUGAAACUUUAAGUGACCGAAAGAGCAAGAAGUAAGUAAUAAGUCAAAGGAAUAGCAAGUAAUGCACCCAAAACCCAGUGUAGGACACACGUUUGGGGGAGGUGACCUGGGCCAGAACUCAAAGGAUAUCUCAGAGUCAGCAACCCAAACUGGGAAUGGAAUUCACAUACAAAGCUCAAAGGUAUCAAUCAGGAAGCAGUAAUGCAUAGUGGUUAGUCAGGCAGACUGUGAAACCUGAUGGCCUUUCUUGGCUUUGCUACUUCUAACUGUAUGACCACAGGCAGGUUGCUUGACAUUUCGGUGCUUCAGUGUCUUUGUUUCUCAAAUGGGGAUAUAAUAAUAAUACCUACUUUUAAUUAAGAUAUAACAUGUAAAAGCCUUAGUACAGUGCCUGGCACAUAGUAAACACAAAAUAAACAUUAGCUGUUAUCAGUGUGCAAGGAAGGAAGAAACAGAAACAUAAAGUGUCAUUUCCCUGGCAAACUGCAGAGAUUCGACACAUUUCAGCACCUGGAGGCCUGGCAAGCAUAGCAUCAUACAGUGAAGGCCUGGGGGAAUUAGUCUAAGGGUUUGUAUAUGUGUUUAUAUAAACAUAUAUGGAAGUGCUUGGAAAGAGGUGCUUGGAUCUACUGUGUAGGGAAAGUAGGAAGAACAAUGCUAAAAAUACAAUAUGAUGGUUAGAUAUAUUAUGGUGUGGCCGUGUAAUGAAAUAUAUAUAGCCCUCAGAAUUGUAUUUAUUAAGAACUUACAUUGACAUGGGAAAUGUUAAUAAUCAUGCUUAGAAAUAAAGUAGGUAUAGAGCAAUAUAAACAAGCAUAAGUUAUUUAUAGAAAAGACUAGAAACAGGCUGGCAUGGUGGCUCAUGCCUAUAAUCCCAGCACUUUGAGAGGCCCAGGCAAACAAAUCCCUUGAAGUCAGGAGUUCGAGACCAGCCUGGGCAACAUGGUGAAACCCUGUCUCUAAAAAAAAUACAAAAAUUAGCUGUAUGCGGUGGCAUGUACCUGUGAUCCCAGCUGCUCGGGAGGGUAAGGUAGGAAGAUCUCUUGAACCUGAGAGGUCAAGGCUGCAGUGAGCAGUGAUUGCACCACUGCACUCCAGCUUGGGUGACAGAGGGAGACCCCGUCUCAAAAAAAAAAAAAGAAGAAGAAAAAGAAAAAAAAAAAGACUGGAAACAUGCAUUAAAAUGUUAACAACAAUAAUGAUCUUUGGUAGUAUGAUUACUGUGAUAUAUUUUCCUUAAAAUUUUAAACUAUUUUCUAAGUUUUCUGAAAUAAACAAUAUUUUUAAAUUGGAACUAGGGAUGACUUUAAAAAAAUUAACAGCUGACAUCAACCCAGCACUUCCUACAAGCCGAGCACAGCUCUAGGUACUUUACAUGUUGUAACUUAUUUCUCUCAUAAAGAGAACACCAGGCCCAAAUGGCUUCAGUACUGAAUUCUACCAAAGAGUUAAGGAAGAAAAAAAAUACCAAUUAUAUACAAAUUUUUCCAAAAAAAAAUGAUGAAAAAGGAGUACUUUCCAACUCAUUCUAUGAAGUCUCUGAUACCAAAAUUAGGCAAAGACAUUACAGAAAAAGAAAACUACAGACCAAUAUAGCUUAUGAAUAUAGAUGCAAAAAUUCUCAACAAAAUUUUAGCCAAGUAAAUCCAACAACAUAUAAAAAGGAAAAUACGUUAUGACUAAGUGAGAUUUAUCCCAGGAAUACAAGACUGGCUCAACAUUCAAAUUCAUAACAUUAAACAGAUUAAAGAAAAAAAAUCAUGUGAUCAUCUGAGCAGAUGCAGAAAAAUCAUUUGACCAAAUUCAACAUCCAUUCCUGCUUUUAAAAACUGUCACCAAAUUUAGAGGGGAAGGGAACUCAUUCAACCUGAUAAAGGACAUAAGUGAAACACAUGCAGCUUACAUUAUGCUUAAUAUUAAAGAACAGUGCUUUCCUCCUAAGACCAAGACCAAGGCAAGGGUGUUUUCAGCUCUCAUCAGGGCAAUAAAGCAAAGGAAAUGAAGUAAAAGAUCUCCAUAUAGGAAAGGAAGAGGGAAAACUGUUUCUGUGUGCACAUCUCACUUUUAAACAGUAUUGGUUACAUGUUGAAAUGAUAAUAUUUUAGAUGUUCUGGGGUUAAGUAAAAUUUUUAUUUAUUUUUAGAUUUUUUAAAUGUGGCUAUUACAAAAUUUAAAAUCAUGUAUAUGGAACAUAUUUGUCACAUACAUCUUAUGUCUUUGGACAGUGCAAGUCAGAGAGAUAGGCAAGGGCCAGAUCACAUCAGGUCUUGGGACCACAGUGAGGAUUAAUACCUUUAUCCUAGAGGUGAUGUGACCAUUAAUAGGAUUUAAAUAAGGGGUGACUUGUGAGAAGUGGAUUGCAGAAGGCAAGAGUGAAUUCAGAG